AUUGAACGCUGGCGGCAGGCCUAACACAUGCAAGUCGAGCGGAUGAGGGGAGCUUGCUCCUGGAUUCAGCGGCGGACGGGUGAGUAAUGCCUAGGAAUCUGCCUGGUAGUGGGGGAUAACGUCCGGAAACGGGCGCUAAUACCGCAUACGUCCUGAGGGAGAAAGUGGGGGAUCUUCGGACCUCACGCUAUCAGAUGAGCCUAGGUCGGAUUAGCUAGUUGGUGGGGUAAAGGCCUACCAAGGCGACGAUCCGUAACUGGUCUGAGAGGAUGAUCAGUCACACUGGAACUGAGACACGGUCCAGACUCCUACGGGAGGCAGCAGUGGGGAUUAUUGGACAAUGGGCGAAAGCCUGAUCCAGCCAUGCCGCGUGUGUGAAGAAGGUCUUCGGAUUGUAAAGCACUUUAAGUUGGGAGGAAGGGCAGUAAGUUAAUACCUUGCUGUUUUGACGUUACCAACAGAAUAAGCACCGGCUAACUUCGUG
This 484-nucleotide ribosomal RNA is filed under the name uncultured bacterium. RNAcentral describes it as "partial 16S ribosomal RNA". It matches the Rfam family "Bacterial small subunit ribosomal RNA", at positions 30 to 507 of the family's 1533-position model. The record is from RNAcentral.